UACGUAGGGGGCAAGCGUUGUCCGGAUUUAUUGGGCGUAAAGAGCGUGUAGGCGGUUAGGUAGGUCCGUUGUGAAAACUCGAGGCUCAACCUCGAGACGCCGAUGGAAACCCCCUAACUAGAGUCCGGAAGAGGGGAGUGGAAUUCCUGGUGUAGCGGUGAAAUGCGCAGAUAUCAGGAAGAACACCCGUGGCUAAGGCGGCUCUCUAGUACGGUACUGACGCUGAGACGCGAAAGCGUGGGGAGCGAACAGG
RNAcentral lists this ribosomal RNA (253 nucleotides) under uncultured bacterium. Its description in RNAcentral is "partial 16S ribosomal RNA". It matches the Rfam family "Bacterial small subunit ribosomal RNA", at positions 524 to 776 of the family's 1533-position model. The record is from RNAcentral.